RNAcentral lists this ribosomal RNA (468 nucleotides) under uncultured bacterium. Its description in RNAcentral is "partial 16S ribosomal RNA". It matches the Rfam family "Bacterial small subunit ribosomal RNA", at positions 28 to 507 of the family's 1533-position model. The record is from RNAcentral.
GACGAACGCUGGCGGCGUGCUUAACACAUGCAAGUCGAACGGAAGGGCCCUGCUUUUGUGGGGUGCUCGAGUGGCGAACGGGUGAGUAACACGUGAGUAAUCUGCCCUUGACUUUGGGAUAACCUUAGGAAACUGGGGCUAAUACCGGAUAGGAGCUCCUGCUGCAUGGUGGGGGGUGGAAAGUUUCGGCGGUUGGGGAUGGACUCGCGGCUUAUCAGCUUGUUGGUGGGGUAGUGGCUUACCAAGGCUUUGACGGGUAGCCGGCCUGAGAGGGUGACCGGCCACAUUGGGACUGAGAUACGGCCCAGACUCCUACGGGAGGCAGCAGUGGGGAAUAUUGCACAAUGGGCGGAAGCCUGAUGCAGCAACGCCGCGUGCGGGAUGACGGCCUUCGGGUUGUAAACCGCUUUCGCCUGUGACGAAGCGUGAGUGACGGUAAUGGGUAAAGAAGCACCGGCUAACUACGUG